Molecule: small nuclear RNA, 107 nt
Organism: Suncus etruscus (white-toothed pygmy shrew)
Lineage: Eukaryota; Metazoa; Chordata; Mammalia; Eulipotyphla; Soricidae
Source: RefSeq, a predicted model, not a curated record
GUGCUUGCUUCAGCAGCACAUGUACUAAAAUUGGAAUUAUACAGAGAAGAUUAGUAUGAUAACAGAGUAAGGAUGACAAAGAAAAUUGUGAAGAGUUCCAUAAUUAA